CUUGACAUCCCGAGAAGUCCCCUGGGAAACAGGGGAGUGCCUUUCGGGAACUCGGAGACAGGUGCUGCAUGGCUGUCGUCAGCUCGUGUCGUGAGAUGUUGGGUUAAGUCCCGCAACGAGCGCAACCCUUGUCUUUAAUUGCCAGCAUUCAGUUGGGCACUUUAAAGAGACUGCCGGUGUUAAGCCGGAGGAAGGUGGGGAUGACGUCAAGUCCUCAUGGCCUUUAUGCCCAGGGCUACACACGUGCUACAAUGGGUGGUACAAAGAGAUGCCAACUCGCGAGAGCGCGCCAAUCUCAGAAAGCCAUCCUCAGUUCGGAUUGGAGUCUGCAACUCGACUCCAUGAAGUUGGAAUCGCUAGUAAUCGCGGAUCAGCACGCCGCGGUGAAUACGUUCCCGGGCCUU
Molecule: ribosomal RNA, 404 nt
Filed under: uncultured Smithella sp.
Lineage: Bacteria; Pseudomonadati; Thermodesulfobacteriota; Syntrophia; Syntrophales; Smithellaceae
Description: bacterial SSU rRNA
Rfam family: Bacterial small subunit ribosomal RNA
Source: RNAcentral